Molecule: non-coding RNA, 31 nt
Filed under: Mus musculus (house mouse)
Lineage: Eukaryota; Metazoa; Chordata; Mammalia; Rodentia; Muridae
Source: RNAcentral
UGUGACUAUGGAGCAACAAAGCUUGGGAGUC